This 253-nucleotide ribosomal RNA is filed under the name uncultured bacterium. Its description in RNAcentral is "partial 16S ribosomal RNA". It matches the Rfam family "Bacterial small subunit ribosomal RNA", at positions 524 to 776 of the family's 1533-position model. The record is from RNAcentral.
UACGUAGGGUGCGAGCGUUAAUCGGAAUUACUGGGCGUAAAGCGUGCGUAGGCGGUUCGUUAAGUCAGCUGUGAAAGCCCCGGGCUCAACCUGGGAAUGGCCGUUGAAACUGGCGAACUGGAGUGUGGCAGAGGGGGGUGGAAUUCCGCGUGUAGCAGUGAAAUGCGUAGAGAUGCGGAGGAACACCGAUGGCGAAGGCAGCCCCCUGGGCUGACACUGACGCUCAGGCACGAAAGCGUGGGGAGCAAACAGG